GGGGCGGGGCGGCGCUCGUGCAAAAAUCAAGGGAGAAACAGCAGAAGGUCAAGGGCGACAGCCCAGGCAGAAGCAGCUGCGUGGCCGGCCCAGCACCACGCCAGCCCCGGGUCCCCGCGCACGGCCCGGGAGCAGCUGUGGGAGGCCCGGCGUGUCCCCGAGCCUGCACGCACCGGGGUCAGAACCCCAGUCCGUAUCUCUCCCAUCUUCUGAGCGAGCACAUUCUUCCCAUUCCUUCACUCUCGCCUUCUCUGCCUCAGCUGACAGGCUGCUGCCUCUCCACCUUGGGGUUUGGCAAAUCUGCCCCCUUCCCAUCUAGCUUUUACAGCCAUCCACUUUGCCUUUAUUAAGCCCAUCUGCC
RNAcentral lists this long non-coding RNA (361 nucleotides) under Fukomys damarensis (Damara mole-rat). RNAcentral's name for it is "lncRNA (ENSFDAG00000031487.1)". Lineage: Eukaryota; Metazoa; Chordata; Mammalia; Rodentia; Bathyergidae. The record is from RNAcentral.